Long non-coding RNA from Polyodon spathula (Mississippi paddlefish), 1877 nucleotides. RefSeq lists it as uncharacterized. Lineage: Eukaryota; Metazoa; Chordata; Actinopteri; Acipenseriformes; Polyodontidae. The transcript has 3 exons. The record is from RefSeq and is a predicted model, not a curated record.
CGUGUGUCUCUAGGCAGGAGGAACUCCCCAUGAAGAGUAAGAACAGAGUACCUCGAUGUAAGGCUUGCAAACUUCAAGCGGUGGUUAAAUGUCUGUUGUCGUGAAUACAAAGAAAGGGGUUUAUGUUUUGUUUUUAUAUUUGUUACAUUUGUUUUAUUGCAAUACCUUUUUUGCACCGUCAGCGAGCCAAGAAACUGUAUCCGGUUUAAGUGCAGCCUGAUAAACACGAAACAAGAUGCGCCGCGACAGAGCUGGGUGGAAGUGAAGGAGUGAGUCUGGCGUCUUUAUUGAAGGGUUGGGAAAACACGACACGCGUGUCUGGCCGGGUGUUAGGAGACGUUAUGAGAGUUUUGUACUGACCCCUCUUUCCUGGUGGCGCUAGAUGCAGAUGCAACCAUACGCACACUAUCCAUUCUUGUUAUACAGAACUGGCUUUACAAAGAUCACAUGAAAGAAAAGGAUAUGUUUUAUGCAGCGUGUCCCCAUUUUAAUGCUGGUUAAAUGGUUGUUUUAAGCUGUUUAAUGAUAGUUUUAAUGCUACUUAUAAUGCAAAUUCCUUGUUUCUACCCUUGUGUGGAAAUCUGCACUGGUGUGAUGUUGUUCUGUCAUCAUUGCCAGUGAAAGCGAGUGGGAUUUUUACUGGUGUGAUGUCGGAUGGCUCCGGGAAAAUACGGGCGCUGAAAUUCCAAUACUAACAGUUUAUCAGUUGAGACUCCCAUUGCAUAGCAGCUGGAGUCAUUUCAGGCCUUAAUAGGACUGAUAAAUCAAACAUCAGCCUAAUUUGACAUAUCCUGGUACCAGCAGGCUCCUCUGUAACGAGCUCACAGUAAAGCCUGCAAUGGUUUUGCACUGCUGUGAAAUGAAGGUCGUGUAUGCUGCAGUCACUCGUGGGUUAGGGUGCCUUUGGUGUGGGGUUGGAAAUGAUGCACCCCUUCUUCAGGUGUGUUUAGUGACUGGCUCUUGUUCCCCUGGGAAGCUGACUCGUAAGAAUCUGAUGGUGAAGAACCUGAAGAGAUACCGUAAGCUGCUGGAGUGCAAGGCGGGGAGGCAGGAGGCGACCAAGUGUGACUUCUUCCCCCCGCACCUUUGAGCUGCCCUGCAAGUAUCACCUGUUUGUGGAGGGGUUCAAGAGGAGCCCCUGGAGCACCUGGAUCACGAAGCCGGUAAGGUGAGGCCGCUGAGGUCACUCAUGAGGAAGUGCUGUGAUUACUCAACAGAAUCAGUCUACAUGCUGGGGUUUUUAGUAAGUUACAGAUAGUUUUAAACUACACUAUUGCUUCAUUGAGGAUUUUCAAAGCUCCUUCGCACUUCACUGUGUCCUUUCUGGUUGAUUGCAGGUUGCCAGGUCCCAGGGAAAGGGCAUCUUCCUCUUUCGCAAACUAAAGUAUAUCAUGGACUGGAAAAAGGAUGGGAACCGUUCAGAGGGUCAGAAGGACAAGAAGCAGGUGGAGAGCUACGUGGGUCAGCGUUACAUUGAGAAUCCGUAUCUCAUUGGAGGGUAUGUAAAUGACAGGAAGAUACAGCUGAGGCAGCUUCUGAACCCCCUCCCAGGACAGAAGAAAGUAUGACAGGAAACAGCCAACCCACAGAGGGAUUGAGAGAUCAAAGGAAGAGGACUCGGACAAGCCAGAGCAGAAAGAGAACAAUAGUGACAUCAGUAGUUAGGCUGACCAGCAGUUAAAACAUGUUUUAGUAAUCAUUUUUUAAAACAAGACUCAAGUGGAUGACAGUUCUGUAGCAGCUUUACCGGAAAAAAAAAAAACACAUUUUAUUUUAAUCGUGGUAACAAUGCAGUCCCAACAAUGUGAUUGAUGGAUCCUGGUGCAUGUGCCAGACUACCUUAAAAACUAAACGAUUUUUUUUUUUUUUUUUUGGCC